AGAAUAUCUCUCGAUCGUGGGCUGCAACUACGUGUCCUUGCUAACGACGGAAAACAAGGAAAACAAGGCCGCGAUCCAUCUCACGUCGUGCCGCCGUGACAUCUGCACGCCGCCCAAACCAGAUGCCGCCGCCGAUCUAUCCCCCGCUCGCCCUUCCUUCCCGUCGGCCGCCCCCCCAUCCCCCUCCGUCCCUCCCAGACCUGGCCUCCGGCGACCUCCGACGGCAACUGUCGACCAGGAGCAGCGGUUACUCAACCCGCCUCGCCCCUUCGCCCCAGACCUGGCGCCCUGGCGGCAGUCGACUAGCAGCGCUGCAGCGACCCAGCGGCUCCACCAGUUGACCCCUCAAGCUGGAUCCCUCCCCUGAGUCUUGGUAAGUAGAUCGUGGUAAUCAGUUAGGAAUUUCUCGUUCCAGCACGAGCACUUAGCACAACUCACUCUCAAAUUCCUAAUUGGGGAUUUACUUUAUUUUUGAGCUGCAGCUUUGUCCAAUUGUUCUGUAAACUAGUUGAUUGAAUUGAGUGUAAGAGAGUUAUCAGUGAUGCUAGAAUUUGGAAAUUGGACUGAGCAUGGGGAAAAAAGGUACCAUUGCAUCGUACUUCAAAAGAUAAGGCUAACCCUUGGAAACAGCCGCAACUUGCCGAUGCAAGAUAACAGGCGCUGCCUGGCCCUGGCUGCUCACAUUUCUUUGCUUUUCUGCCCUGGUUCUCUCCAUAAUUCGCCUCUCUUAUGGUUACAAAAGUGGCGUCCUGCAUGAUUUGUUUCCCCUAGAACAUUGUAGAAGUUUGUUUUUUUACAGGAGUACAACACUGAGACCCACCGAGUUAUUGUGGAGCUGAUUGUUCCUUUUGACUUCUCACCUAUAAGGAGGCUAGCUACGAAAAUGUUCUAAGGUUUCAUUCUGAAGAAUGUUCCAAGGAAGGCAAGAGGCUGAUUCAUAUUCCUCCUAAGAAAAUAAUUUUUUGCUCUAUGUAUUGUUGGUUCCAGUUCAUCGUCAGUUCUACGGUAUCUUGUGUAUGGUUACCAUCAGUGAUUAUCAGAUCAUAACCUUAUUGGGCUCCUGGUAUUUCUACCAUGAUGGAUAAAUCACUGCAGUGAUAAACUGUACAAAGGGAAAGCGGCUUCAAAAAUAUUUAGGUCAGUCCAAAGUACCCACUUUAAUGAAUCUUUUCUCAUGGCUGUAUUUGACGUUAUAGCUGCAGUCCUCUUUCAUCUUGCCAUUGUCGAAGAAUUUUAUCAAUCAAGUUGCUUAAAAAAUAUACUCUGUUUCUGAAAUUAACACGGGUACAAUUCUUGUAUAGAAUGUUGCUUACUAGUUUUAUUGUUUUGGACUGUUAGUCAAUCGAAUCCUUACAAGAAAGAUUGGGCAGGUGAGGUCACUUCUUCUACUUAGGUGCUCUCAUACAUGGAGAAGCUAUCUCAACCCCAAGCAUUGUGUUUAACUCAGUUUCCCCGUUAUAACUUUGAAUAUGCUUAUUUUACUAGCCGGCCUAUUUCAAGUUGGCUGGAGUUAAACAAAAUUUAAGGGCUGCACCUUUUUAGCUCUCUUAUUAUAAUCCUUUUGUGCAUAUAUAAUAGAUUUAAAGUACACAGGUUAGUUAAGGCAUCAUAGUUAAUUUCUACCUAGCUCAAAUGCUGGCUUGCUACAACUUUUUUCUUUCUCGCUACUAUCAUUUAUCUGUUGCAAUGAGAGUUAACCAAUCAUAACAUUAAGUAGUAUAUUAUUUUAAAAUUUGACUUACCCCUGUUCUGUACCUUCAUAUUUGGAAAUAUUCGUAUGAUUAUGUCAUACAGGACGUGCGCGGCAAUGAGCGCCAUCAUGAUCUAAUUAGAUGAGAAAACAUGUAUCUGCUAGAGACUUGACAAUGUAACUGAAGGAGAAAAAAAUGGAAAUACUAGUCACGCGAAUCUGGAGAACAUUAAGAUACCAGAUAAUUCAAACAAACUGUAUGAUAGCACCGAUCAAUUAAUGAUAAAUAUUUUUCUGAAUGGGAGUGAAACUUGUGCCAGUAGUUCUUUCUCUCAUUUACAUACUACUUCGAAUCCAUUUUAAUCGACGCGGCUAUCAACUAUACAUCUCUGGCCCCAUCUUCACAGGCAAAUGCCAAUUUAAGGCAAUCUUAGGGAGUAUAUUUUUAUCAUCUUCGUGUGGGCCUUAUGCUGGUGUUUUUCUGUCUUAGAAGAGGAGAAGAAAUAGCUUUCUGUAUUACAAUAUUUAUUUACAAGGAUAAUGUCUAUUUCGUGCUAAAUUUCGCACUACUUCUGUCUUUACUAGUCUCUACACUAACUAGGUCAGUAUUUGUCUGUGUUAUUGAGCUUAAAACUCCAAUAGCCCCAUGUUAAAACAAUUUUUGUAUUGUGUGUUACAGAUUAUUUUACUACUAUAAUAAGUUAGCUUUCAGCUAUACGACUUCAGGAUAUACACCUUACUUCACUGGAUGAUACACGGAAUGAAGAUAUUUUGUCUGUUAGACUAUAGUUGGAAAAAAUUGAGCAACACAUGAAAAACCAAGAUGCUAAAAUUCUAGAGUUAAAUGAGAAGUUGUUGAACUGUGAAAGAUAGGUAAAUUUAAGAAACUUUGCCAUUGUUCAAUACAUGUACUAAUUUUUUUAUUGGUCAUUGUGUUCUGGGUCAGAUAUCUACAACCCGAGAUGCUCUUGGUAUUGCCCAGACAAACUCAAAAAGGAAAGUAAGUAUCAUUAGAUCGGUCAAAGUCAUUUACAUAAAUAUAUUCAUAUUUGUUUUUUGAUCUGCAGAGAGUAUAUGGUGAUCUUCGUAGUCAACAACUUGGAACUAUUGGAAAGGAGAAUAAACAUCCUGCUACACAAAAGGUUUGCACAUUUAUAUCAUUAUAGUUUUUGCAAUCUUACAAUAUAUGUACUGUCAUAGAACAAAGAAACUUUGGUCCAAGAUGAAAAUGUGCAACCUGGACAAGGAAGUGCUAGUGCAGAAAAGGACCUGAACAUCAACCCCAACACAAUGACACACUUGAACGUUGUAAGGUUUCUCUGCACACAUGCAUGGUGGCAAGAACAGUGGAAGGUGUUAGAAUUGGAAAUCAAUUCGGGGCAGUGCACGUUGAUGCUACAUUACGAAAAUCCGAUGAGUUGAUACGACCGCUCAAAAAGAUCAAGAUUAUUGGUCAUGCAGCAGGAUUAACAAUCGCAUGGCCUUCAACCUCAAUUUUCAAGAUAAAUUGGUGAUGCUUGGUUGAGAUGUUGAUUGCAAGAUGAAGACUGAUACUACUACUGGAUAGCUUACAUUACUUUUCGUAUGUAAUUUUAAUCGCCAAUGUUGGGAAGAGAACAUUAUAUAUUUGUAUAAUAGUGCAAGUACCAGCCAGUUCACGUUCUUUGAAUAUUUUUCUUUGUUAUUGAACACAGUCAAAACAUUAUAUGAAAUACUUCUGUUUCCUA
RNA transcript from Lolium perenne, 3417 nucleotides. RefSeq lists it as uncharacterized. The record is from RefSeq and is a predicted model, not a curated record. Lineage: Eukaryota; Viridiplantae; Streptophyta; Magnoliopsida; Poales; Poaceae.